GCGGAGGAAAAGAAACCAACAGGGAUUGCCCCAGUAACGGCGAGUGAAGCGGCAAAAGCUCAAAUUUGAAAUCCUGCGGGAAUUGUAAUUUGAAGGUUUCGUGGUCUGAGUCGGCCGCGCCCAAGUCCAUUGGAACAUGGCGCCUGGGAGGGUGAGAGCCCCGUAUGGCGCACGCCGACUCUUUGCACCGCGGCUCCGACGAGUCGAGUUGUUUGGGAAUGCAGCUCUAAGUGGGUGGUAAAUUCCAUCUAAAGCUAAAUAUUGGCGAGAGACCGAUAGCGAACAAGUACAGUGAUGGAAAGAUGAAAAGCACUUUGAAAAGAGAGUGAAACAGCACGUGAAAUUGUUGAAAGGGAAGGGCUUGCAAGCAGACACGGUUUUACCGGGCCAGCGUCGAAAAGGGGGGAGGAACAAGAACUCGAGAAUGUGGCGCGCACCUUCGGGCGCGCGUGUUAUAGCUCGUGUUGACGCCUCCAUCCCUUUUCGAGGCCUGCGAUUCUAGGACGCUGGCGUAAUGGUUGCAAGCCGCCCGUCUUGAACCACGGACCAAA
Molecule: ribosomal RNA, 551 nt
Filed under: Clavispora lusitaniae
Lineage: Eukaryota; Fungi; Ascomycota; Pichiomycetes; Serinales; Metschnikowiaceae
Description: partial large subunit ribosomal RNA
Rfam family: Eukaryotic large subunit ribosomal RNA
Source: RNAcentral